This 454-nucleotide ribosomal RNA is filed under the name uncultured bacterium. Its description in RNAcentral is "partial 16S ribosomal RNA". It matches the Rfam family "Bacterial small subunit ribosomal RNA", at positions 28 to 507 of the family's 1533-position model. The record is from RNAcentral.
GAUGAACGCUGACAGAAUGCUUAACACAUGCAAGUCUACUUGAACUUCGGUUUGUUUGGCGGACGGGUGAGUAACGCGUACAGAACUUGCCUCACAGUUAGGGACAACAUUUGGAAACGAAUGCUAAUACCUGAUAUUAUGAUUUUAGGGCAUCCUAGGAUUAUGAAAGCUAUAUGUGCUGUGAGAGAGCUUUGCGUCCCAUUAGCUAGUUGGAGAGGUAACGGCUCACCAAGGCGAUGAUGGGUAGCCGGCCUGAGAGGGUUAACGGCCACAAGGGGAGUGAGACGCGGCCAAUACGACGACGGGAGGCAGCAGGGGAAAAAAAAGGACGAUAGGCAGAAAGUCUGAUACAGGAAUUCUGAGUGCACGAUGAAGUUUUUUGGAAAGUAAAAUGAUUUCAGUUAAGAAGAAAAAAAUGACGGUACCAACAGAAGAAGUGACGGCUAAAUAAGUG